Molecule: ribosomal RNA, 751 nt
Filed under: uncultured Capnocytophaga sp.
Lineage: Bacteria; Pseudomonadati; Bacteroidota; Flavobacteriia; Flavobacteriales; Flavobacteriaceae
Description: bacterial SSU rRNA
Rfam family: Bacterial small subunit ribosomal RNA
Source: RNAcentral
GAUGAACGCUAGCGGGCAGGCCUAACACAUGCAAGUCGAGGGAGAGGUUACCUUCGGGGUAACCAAAACCGGCGCACGGGUGCGUAACGCGUAUACAAUCUGCCUUUCACAUAGGGAUAGCCCGAAGAAAUUUGGAUUAAUACCUAAUGGUAUAUAAGAGCGGCAUCGUUUUUAUAUUAAAGCUACGGUGGUGAAAGAUGAGUAUGCGCUCUAUUAGCUAGUUGGAGAGGUAACGGCUCCCCAAGGCGACGAUAGAUAGGGGUUCUGAGAGGGAUGUCCCCCACACUGGUACUGAGAUACGGACCAGACUCCUACGGGAGGCAGCAGUGAGGAAUAUUGGACAAUGGUCGGAAGACUGAUCCAGCCAUGCCGCGUGCAGGAUGAAGGUCCUAUGGAUUGUAAACUGCUUUUGUAAGGGAAGAAUAAGGAGUACGUGUACUUUGAUGACGGUACCUUACGAAUAAGCAUCGGCUAACUCCGUGCCAGCAGCCGCGGUAAUACGGAGGAUGCGAGCGUUAUCCGGAAUCAUUGGGUUUAAAGGGUCCGUAGGCGGGCUGAUAAGUCAGAGGUGAAAGCGCUUAGCUCAACUAAGCAACUGCCUUUGAAACUGUCAGUCUUGAAUGAUUGUGAAGUAGUUGGAAUGUGUAGUGUAGCGGUGAAAUGCUUAGAUAUUACACAGAACACCGAUAGCGAAGGCAUAUUACUAACAAUUUAUUGACGCUGAUGGGCGAAAGCGUGGGGAGCGAACAGG